UAUAGGAAUCUACCUAGUAGUACGGAAUAAUUGUUGGAAACGGCAACUAAUACCGUAUACGCCCUACGGGGGAAAAAUUUAUUGCUAUUAGAUGAGCCUAUAUUAGAUUAGCUAGUUGGUGGAGUAAUAGCCUACCAAGGCAAUGAUCUAUAGCUGAUCUGAGAGGAUGAUCAGCCACACUGGAACUGAGAUACGGUCCAGACUCCUACGGGAGGCAGCAGUGGGGAAUAUUGGACAAUGGGCGAAAGCCUGAUCCAGCCAUGCCGCAUGAGUGAAGAAGGCCUUUGGGUUGUAAAGCUCUUUUAGUGAGGAAGAUAAUGACGGUACUCACAGAAGAAGUCCUGGCUAACUCCGUGCCAGCAGCCGCGGUAAUACGGAGAGGGCUAGCGUUAUUCGGAAUUAUUGGGCGUAAAGGGCGCGUAGGCGGAUUAGUAAGUUAAAAGUGAAAUCCCAAGGCUCAACCUUGGAAUUGCUUUUAAAACUGCUAAUCUAGAGAUUGAAAGAGGAUAGAGGAAUUCCUAGUGUAGAGGUGAAAUUCGUAAAUAUUAGGAGGAACACCAGUGGCGAAGGCGUCUAUCUGGUUCAAAUCUGACGCUGAGGCGCGAAGGCGUGGGGAGCAAACAGGAUUAGAUACCCUGGUAGUCCACGCUGUAAACGAUGAAUGUUAAAUAUGGGAAGUUUUACUUUCUGUAUUACAGCUAACGCGUUAAACAUUCCGCCUGGGGACUACGGUCGCAAGAUUAAAACUCAAAGGAAUUGACGGGGACCCGCACAAGCGGUGGAGCAUGUG
RNAcentral lists this ribosomal RNA (790 nucleotides) under Wolbachia endosymbiont of Drosophila simulans. Its description in RNAcentral is "bacterial SSU rRNA". It matches the Rfam family "Bacterial small subunit ribosomal RNA", at positions 116 to 943 of the family's 1533-position model. The record is from RNAcentral. RNAcentral also lists the same sequence under 2 other names. Lineage: Bacteria; Pseudomonadati; Pseudomonadota; Alphaproteobacteria; Rickettsiales; Anaplasmataceae.